AGAGUUUGAUCCUGGCUCAGAACGAACGCUGGCGGCGUGGAUAAGACAUGCAAGUCGAACGAUUAUCACGGGGUAGCAAUAUUCUGUGGUGAGAGUGGCGCAAGGGUGCGUAACACGUGGGCAAUUUGCCGUGAAGCCUGGAAUAACUCGCUGAAAGGCGAGCUAAUACCGGAUGUGAUUUCUGGAGGGCAUCCUCUGGAACUCAAAGCUGGGGACCGUAAGGCCUGGCACUUCACGAUAAGCCCGCGGCCUAUCAGCUAGUUGGUGAGGUAACGGCCCACCAAGGCUAAGACGGGUAGCUGGUCUGAGAGGACGACCAGCCUCACUGGAACUGAGACACGGUCCAGACACCUACGGGUGGCAGCAGUCGAGAAUUUUUCACAAUGGGCGCAAGCCUGAUGGAGCGACGCCGCGUGGGGGAUGAAUGGCUUCGGCCCGUAAACCCCUGUCAUUUGCGAACAAACCUCGUUAUUUAAAAGAUGACGAGUUGAUAGUAGCGAAAGAGGAAGGGACGGCUAACUCUGUGCCAGCAGCCGCGGUAAUACAGAGGUCCCAAGCGUUGUUCGGAUUCACUGGGCGUAAAGGGUGCGUAGGUGGCGGGGUAAGUCUGACGUGAAAUCUCCGAGCUUAACUCGGAAAUGGCGUCGGAUACUAUCUCGCUAGAGGGUUGGAGGGGAGACUGGAAUUCUCGGUGUAGCAGUGAAAUGCGUAGAUAUCGAGAGGAACACCAGUGGCGA
This 737-nucleotide ribosomal RNA is filed under the name uncultured bacterium. RNAcentral describes it as "bacterial SSU rRNA". It matches the Rfam family "Bacterial small subunit ribosomal RNA", at positions 8 to 718 of the family's 1533-position model. The record is from RNAcentral.